This 301-nucleotide ribosomal RNA is filed under the name uncultured bacterium. RNAcentral's name for it is "partial 16S ribosomal RNA". It matches the Rfam family "Bacterial small subunit ribosomal RNA", at positions 509 to 807 of the family's 1533-position model. The record is from RNAcentral.
CAGUCGCCGCGGUAAUACGGAGGGUGCAAGCGUUAAUCGGAAUUACUGGGCGUAAAGCGUGCGUAGGCGGUUCGUUAAGUCUGUUGUGAAAGCCCCGGGCUCAACCUGGGAAUGGCAAUGGAUACUGGCGAGCUAGAGUGUGUCAGAGGAUGGUGGAAUUCCCGGUGUAGCGGUGAAAUGCGUAGAGAUCGGGAGGAACAUCAGUGGCGAAGGCGGCCAUCUGGGACAACACUGACGCUGAGGCACGAAAGCGUGGGGAGCAAACAGGAUUAGAUACCCGCGUAGUCCCUGUCUCUUAUAC